Molecule: ribosomal RNA, 253 nt
Filed under: uncultured bacterium
Lineage: Bacteria
Description: partial 16S ribosomal RNA
Rfam family: Bacterial small subunit ribosomal RNA
Source: RNAcentral
UACAGAGACUGCAAGCGUUAUUCGGAUUCACUGGGCGUAAAGGGUGCGCAGGCGGUUGGGUGUGUCAGAUGUGAAAUCCCGAGGCUUAACCUCGGAACUGCGUCUGAAACUACUCGACUAGAGUAUUGGAGAGGGUAACGGAAUUCACGGUGUAGCAGUGAAAUGCGUAGAUAUCGUGAGGAACACCAGAGGCGAAGGCGGUUACCUGGACAGUUACUGACGCUCAGGCACGAAAGCGUGGGGAGCAAACAGG